GACGAACGCUGGCGGCGUGCUUAACACAUGCAAGUCGAACGGAAAGGCCCUGCUUUUGUGGGGUGCUCGAGUGGCGAACGGGUGAGUAACACGUGAGUAACCUGCCCUUGACUUUGGGAUAACUUCAGGAAACUGGGGCUAAUACCGGAUAGGAUCUCCUGCUGCAUGGUGGGGGUUGGAAAGUUUCGGCGGUUGGGGAUGGACUCGCGGCUUACCAGCUUGUUGGGGGGGUAGUUGCUUACCAAGCCUUUGAAGGAUAGGCGGCCUGGGAGGGUGACCGGCCACAUUGGGACUGAGGUACGCCCCAGACUGCAACGGGAGGCAGCAGUGGAGAAUAUUGCACAAUGGGCGGAAGCCUGAUGCGGAAACGCCGCGUGCGGGAUGACGGCCUUCGGGUUAUAAACCGCUUUCGCAUGUGACGAAGCGUGAGUGACGGUAAUGAGUAAAGAAGCACCGGCUAACUACGUG
Molecule: ribosomal RNA, 468 nt
Filed under: uncultured bacterium
Lineage: Bacteria
Description: partial 16S ribosomal RNA
Rfam family: Bacterial small subunit ribosomal RNA
Source: RNAcentral